RNAcentral lists this ribosomal RNA (392 nucleotides) under uncultured Agaricales. RNAcentral's name for it is "eukaryotic LSU rRNA". The stretch from base 337 to 392 matches the Rfam family "Eukaryotic large subunit ribosomal RNA", at positions 1 to 56 of the family's 3401-position model. The record is from RNAcentral. Lineage: Eukaryota; Fungi; Basidiomycota; Agaricomycetes; Agaricales.
AUAUAGUCGCGUGAAUCAUCGAAUCUUUGAACGCACCUUGCACUUUAGGAGUCAAUUCUAAAGUAUACCUGUUUGAGUAUCAUUUACAUAUAUCCAAUUUUAUUGGGAAUUGGGAAUUGAGAGUUCAGGGAAUUAUUGCCAGUCUCUUUAAAUGUAGAGGGUUUCAAGGAUAAGCGCGUCUUUAUCUUGAAUGAGGAUAUUUACUCUUGUAGUAAAGCAAUCAUCAAAGGAAAGAAAAGCGAUAUUCAUCAAAUUGAGCUCUAUAAGCGGUUGUUUGUUAGGUUGUUAUUUACUUACAAGAAUAAUAAUAACCAGACAUCACCAAACGUACAAUUGUGAUCUCAAAUCAGGCAAGACUACCCGCUGAACUUAAGCAUAUCAAUAAGCGGAGG